This 148-nucleotide transfer RNA is filed under the name Imshaugia aleurites. RNAcentral's name for it is "tRNA-Glu". Lineage: Eukaryota; Fungi; Ascomycota; Lecanoromycetes; Lecanorales; Parmeliaceae. The record is from RNAcentral.
GCGUUCUUAGCUCAGUUGGGGCAAGUUAAAGUCCUUCACUGAAUUAAAUGAACACAAAGCUAACUUCUCUCAAGAGAGCGCGAGACUGAAGAAAAACUUCAUUCUAUUUAUUAUCUCGAGGUCGUGUGUUCAAUCCACACAGAGCGCA